GCAUUGGUGGUUCAGCGGCAGAAUUCUCGCCUUCCAUGCGGGAAACCCGGGUUCGAUGCCCAGCCAAUGUA
This 71-nucleotide transfer RNA is filed under the name Loxodonta africana (African savanna elephant). It matches the Rfam family "tRNA". Rfam says of the family: Transfer RNA (tRNA) molecules are approximately 80 nucleotides in length. Their secondary structure includes four short double-helical elements and three loops (D, anti-codon, and T loops). Lineage: Eukaryota; Metazoa; Chordata; Mammalia; Proboscidea; Elephantidae. The record is from Rfam by way of RNAcentral.